Molecule: ribosomal RNA, 253 nt
Filed under: uncultured bacterium
Lineage: Bacteria
Description: partial 16S ribosomal RNA
Rfam family: Bacterial small subunit ribosomal RNA
Source: RNAcentral
UACGAAGGGGGCUAGCGUUGUUCGGAAUUACUGGGCGUAAAGCGUGCGUAGGUGGUUGUUUAAGUCUGUCGUGAAAGCCCUGGGCUCAACCUGGGAAUUGCGAUGGAAACUGGGCGACUAGAGUGUGGCAGAGGAUAGUGGAAUUCCUGGUGUAGCAGUGAAAUGCGUAGAGAUCAGGAGGAACAUCCGUGGCGAAGGCGACUGUCUGGGCCAACACUGACACUGAGGCACGAAAGCGUGGGGAGCAAACAGG